Molecule: ribosomal RNA, 301 nt
Filed under: uncultured bacterium
Lineage: Bacteria
Description: partial 16S ribosomal RNA
Rfam family: Bacterial small subunit ribosomal RNA
Source: RNAcentral
CAGUCGCCGCGGUAAUACAGAGGGUGCAAGCGUUAAUCGGAAUUACUGGGCGUAAAGCGCGCGUAGGUGGUUUGUUAAGUUGGAUGUGAAAUCCCCGGGCUCAACCUGGGAACUGCAUCCAAAACUGGCAAGCUAGAGUAUGGUAGAGGGUGGUGGAAUUUCCUGUGUAGCGGUGAAAUGCGUAGAUAUAGGAAGGAACACCAGUGGCGAAGGCGACCACCUGGACUGAUACUGACACUGAGGUGCGAAAGCGUGGGGAGCAAACAGGAUUAGAUACCCCGGUAGUCCAUGUCUCUUAUAC